This 204-nucleotide long non-coding RNA is filed under the name Lathyrus oleraceus (garden pea). Its description in RNAcentral is "Pisum sativum (pea) long non-coding RNA (PSAT_LNC027552)". The record is from RNAcentral. Lineage: Eukaryota; Viridiplantae; Streptophyta; Magnoliopsida; Fabales; Fabaceae.
UCCAUAACUGCAUGGUAUGAGUCAUAGGUCUAAUCCCCAUGUAAUUUUCAUAAUUUUGUAUAUCCCUUUUAUUCUUAUAGAUUAGAACUAAAGUGUUUCUUCUCCAUUCAUUCAAAUUUUCUUUGAACUUAUAAUUUUGUUAAAGAGUUUGGUGAGCCACUCAAUACCUUUAUCUUCUAGAACUUUUUACACUUCAACAUGUGU